Molecule: transfer RNA, 72 nt
Filed under: Ornithorhynchus anatinus (platypus)
Lineage: Eukaryota; Metazoa; Chordata; Mammalia; Monotremata; Ornithorhynchidae
Rfam family: tRNA
About the family: Transfer RNA (tRNA) molecules are approximately 80 nucleotides in length. Their secondary structure includes four short double-helical elements and three loops (D, anti-codon, and T loops).
Source: Rfam by way of RNAcentral
AGCACUGUGGUCUAGUAGAAAGAGCACAGGCCUGGGAGUCUGAGGACCUGGGUCCUAAUCCCAGCACUGCUA